Molecule: long non-coding RNA, 748 nt
Filed under: Rattus norvegicus (Norway rat)
Lineage: Eukaryota; Metazoa; Chordata; Mammalia; Rodentia; Muridae
Description: long non-coding RNA NONRATT006875
Source: RNAcentral
AGGUAUUGAAUUUUCUCUGCCUUUACUAGAAGAGAGUGGUCAUAAGGAGAAAGUUCGAGAACCAAGCCUGGAAUCUGAGGAGUACGUAAUUACAAAACCCUUUGCACGUUCACUUUUAUGAAGUCUCUAAUUCACUCGUUUGAUGCGUUUUUAACAGCAUCAAGUGUGAAAAUGCACUUCUAACUGUAGCAGUUUCCUAGGGAGCAGGCAGUCAGUGACGAAGAUGAAGAGGAAAGUUUGUCUUGGCUGGAAGAGAUCGGUGUGCAGGAUCAAAUUAAGAAGCCAGACUUGAUCUCUGUCAAGCUGCGUAAAGAAAAACAUGAAGUACAGAUGGAUCACCGACCAGAGUCUGUCGUACUGGUGAAAGGACUCAAUACCUUCAAACUGCUCAACUUUUUGAUCAAUUGCAAGAGUUUAGUUGCUACCUCAGGCGCACAGGCAGGUCUCCCACCCACUCUCUUAUCCCCAGUUGCCUUUCGAGGUGCCUCAAUGCAAAUGCUUAAGGUAAGUGUUUACAUCAUCUGCACAGUCCAGCUCUUUGUGUUGUUUUCGGCUUUUUUUUUUUUUUUUGAACACGGGUCUCUGUAAUUCUGUCCUCGAUGUAGACUGCUCUGAUCUCAAGCUCCUAAGUGCUGGCAUUAAAGGCAUGUGCCACCAUGCCUAGCUCAAACUCUCAAUUUUUAAAAAAAUAAUUGUAGGGACUCGGGAGAUGGAUCAGUAUGUAUGAGCACUUGUUCCUCUUGCAGAA